Molecule: ribosomal RNA, 253 nt
Filed under: uncultured bacterium
Lineage: Bacteria
Description: partial 16S ribosomal RNA
Rfam family: Bacterial small subunit ribosomal RNA
Source: RNAcentral
UACGUAGGGGGCAAGCGUUGUCCGGAAUCAUUGGGCGUAAAGAGCGUGUAGGCGGCCCGGUAAGUCCGCUGUGAAAGUCCAGGGCUCAACCCUGGGAUGCCGGUGGAUACUGUCGGGCUCGAGUCCGGAAGAGGAGUGUGGAAUUCCUGGUGUAGCGGUGGAAUGCGCAGAUAUCAGGAGGAACACCAAUGGCGAAGGCAGCACUCUGGGACGUGACUGACGCUGAGACGCGAAAGCGUGGGGAGGAAACAGG